This 450-nucleotide ribosomal RNA is filed under the name uncultured Glomeromycotina. RNAcentral's name for it is "SSU rRNA". It matches the Rfam family "Eukaryotic small subunit ribosomal RNA", at positions 569 to 1024 of the family's 1831-position model. The record is from RNAcentral. Lineage: Eukaryota; Fungi; Glomeromycota.
AGCAGCCGCGGUAAUUCCAGCUCCAAUAGCGUAUAUUAAAGUUGUUGCAGUUAAAAAGCUCGUAGUUGAAUUUCGGGAUCAGUACGCUGGUCGUGCCUUUGGUAUGUACUGGUGUCACUGAUUCCUCCCUUCUGAAGAACCGUUAUGCCAUUUAUUUGGUGUGGCGGGAGAUCAGGACUGUUACUUUGAAAAAUUAGAGUGUUUAAAGCAGGCUCGCGCUUGAAUACAUUAGCAUGGAAUAAUGAAAUAGGACGUUUGAUCUUAUUUUGUUGGUUUCUAGGAUCGACGUAAUGAUUAAUAGGGAUAGUUGGGGGCAUUAGUAUUCAAUUGUCAGAGGUGAAAUUCUUGGAUUUAUUGAAGACUAACUACUGCGAAAGCAUUUGCCAAGGAUGUUUUCAUUAAUCAAGAACGAAAGUUAGGGGAUCGAAGACGAUCAGAUACCGUCGUAGU